CGCUGAGCAGGGAGCCCAACAUGGGGCUCAAUCCCAGGACUCUGAGAUCAUGACCCGAGCCGAAGGCAGAUGCCAACUGACUGAGCCACCCAGGCGCCCUGGGCAUUCUGUAUUUAAUCUCACAAUCCAGUCAUGUGUCAGCGGAGGCUUUCAUCGUCCGAAGACUUCAGACGAGGGUUCUUGGAUCCAUUUCCAAGAUGGCACAUGAACAUGCCUACCAAGUUAGCUCUGGUUGUUUGCAGGGGUCAUCGGUUCUUUGCCACAUGGAGCUCUUUUUGGACUGCUUGAGGGUUUCCCUCAAAUAGCAGCUGGCUUCCCCCAGAGUGAUUCAAGAGAGUUCAAUAUGAUUUAUGACCUUACCUUGGAAGUCACAUUCUGUAAUUUCUGAAAUAUUGUAUUGAUCACACAGGUCACUUCUAUUCAUUGUGGGAGAGGAUUAGAUGAAUACCAGAAGCAAGAAUCACCGGAGGCCAUCUUGGAGACUGGCUCCAUCCUCUGGAAUUUAUACAUGGAGUUCAUAGCCUAUAAGUUCCAUGAUGAUCAGACAAAGAGGCAACACAGAGAAGUUGAGUCAAUUGUCCAGGAUCAUACAGCAGAGCCCAGAUCCGCUGUCUCACCGACACACUUUCCACUUGUAUCGUGUAGUGGCUAAAGCUCUCAGCUUCAGCUGAGCUUAGCAGUCAUUCCCGUGUUCAUGGUGGAGUAGCUUCCCAUUGAAGCCAGACUAGAUGGGAAGGAGGAGACGCAUCUGAGUAGGGCGAGCGGGUGUGCCCUCACCUGUGAGUUUGACCGCAGCGCUCCGGAUCAUCUCCCAGCUGCUGCUGAAGAAGGGGAACAAGUGUGUGUGGAGGAUCCACAGGAUUUCCUGGUUUUUCUUUGCCUGAAAGAGAUGCAUAUUGCAAAGAGGACAAGUGGGAGGUGACCUUUAGUGAAAUCUGGCAUCCGGUAGGUCCUACAUAAGGAAACUACAGGCCAUGAACACUCACACAGCUAUUCAUUUUUCUACUGGGAGAUGUCUUGUGGUUAUUUCAAACCUGAAUUUAAAAGUACUGGGGCUUGCGGGACUAAUCAACAGGUGUGUUUCAGGGAUCUCGAAGAACAGAUCCUUGUCAGGACUUGGGAGAGAGCGGAGGGUAAUGGGGGAGGACACCAAGAAUCAUUGCAAUCCUUCAAACCAGUUCUGACUGUGGUCAGAGAUCCCUUGCUGUGUUGUUUGCCUUUUUGGGCUUUGCCUGGACUUUGGGCUGUGCGUUUGCAGGCAGCAUUUACGACAUACUCACCAGUUUCACACAGAAUUGCCUGUAGAAAUCCCUGGCCCUUGGUAGAUCCUGGCCAUCUAGGAGAUGAUCUAACACCCCAUAGAGUUCCUGAAGGCCCAGGAAAGGGAUGCAGAUGAUCAGGACGUCACGGCAAGCCUAAGAAACAGUGUUUCAAGUCACCGUCUAGAACGCUUCCCUUCUGGAAGGGAAGGAUGCUGCCUAGUGCUGGGACGGGGCAGGGGACACAGUGAUGCAAGGGGUUUAGAGUAAGUACUGGCACCAUCCCACUUUCAAAGACGGAAGAGCAAUCUGAGAGAGAAAGAGAGAGGGCAAGAAAGAACCUAGGGUCGAAGAAGCAGUUUUCAGGUUUGGUUGAGAGAGGUGGCCUCAGAUCUGGCUUCUGGACCAGCUAGACCAGACUUACUGGCACUUGCCAGCCGUGGGGGGAGGGGGAGGUGCAGGGUCUGUGCAAAGGCCACUUACAGCUCCGACCUUGGGAUUGGGAUCCCAGAGGUGGAGAAGGAAUGAAAUCAUGCUCUUUUUUAUUUCUUCUGCAAAAAAAAUCUUCCACCUUCUUCCUGUGAGGGAUGCCAGGUUCUCAAACAAGUAGAUGGCAGUCAGUCUCACAUCAUCCUGCUCCUGUGGUGACAGAUGCAUGUCAUGGGUGAGUCCCCCUCACAGGCCACCUCCAGGUGGCGCCCAACCCCACCCCCACCCCCACCCUGCCCUGUCCCAUAGCAGCAGAGGGAGGCGCUGCUGAGCUCUUGUCUCAAGGCCUGUGUGAGCCAAGAACGCUCUUCCAUUCCUAGCAGCUCUGCACUCACACUCCGUGAGUUUACAUGACCAUGGGUCUGGGCGUCAAGUGAUGCCCUAGAGCUGGAGACUUGGUUUCUGUCAUUGAGUCCCUACUGGGGACACAGACCACAGGGAUGGUAAACAGGGAGUACUGGCAACGAGAGGGCAGGGAGGGUUCCUGCUUAUUGUGUAUUUUAUACAGAUUAGCCCGAUGGCAUCACUAUCCUAGAAUUCUGGGGCCCUUAAUCUAAAAUUGCCCGAGGCCCAAGACUCUUCUCUAAGAUCCCAAAUACUUUCCAAUAGGAUUAAAGGCAGCUCAGAAGUUUGAGCUCUGGGUCUCAGAGACAGAGAAUAAACAAACAAGUGCCUAGCUCUAUGCUUGCAUACGUGAAAUUCUGGAACUUUCCUUGCUUGUUGUCCAGGAUGGAAGGCAAUGAUUUUAAGAACCAAAGGAUAAGGUGGUGGAGAGAGAUGGCCAUCUGUUAUCCCAGACAUUUUGCUGAUACCGUUCAGAGUUCAAACAAACACUGAUGGAUUUUUCUGGAGGUUUUUCUUUCUUUCUUUUUCCCCCCAGGUCUAGCAGACUAGUUUAAAAUACACAUAUAAAGGCAGAGGGAUGAAGAGAAAAGUCGUCCUGAGUAGCAGAUUAUUAUUUUGGAUUAGCAAUAAGCAAGGGUCAAUGGAAAGCAUCCCCAUGAAUAUGAGGAAAAGAAGAGAGAGUAGAAUUAAUUUUGAUGGCAAGGUAGAAUGUCAGAAAUGGGCACAUAAGCAAAAAUGCCAUAAAAAAGGAAGUUAAUAAAGAUCUUUCAGAAAAAAUAAAGAUGGCUUGUUGGGACACGGCCAGAAAAGGUAAAUGAAUGCAUGAGACAUGACUUCAUAUAGUGGAAAUGGAAGUAGAAAUGUUUAAAUGUACUGGGA
Molecule: long non-coding RNA, 2972 nt
Organism: Ailuropoda melanoleuca (giant panda)
Lineage: Eukaryota; Metazoa; Chordata; Mammalia; Carnivora; Ursidae
Exons: 3
Source: RefSeq, a predicted model, not a curated record